Molecule: ribosomal RNA, 253 nt
Filed under: uncultured bacterium
Lineage: Bacteria
Description: partial 16S ribosomal RNA
Rfam family: Bacterial small subunit ribosomal RNA
Source: RNAcentral
GACAGAGGGCGCAAACGUUGUUCGGAAUUACUGGGCGUAAAGCGUGCGCAGGCGGCUUUGCAAGACAGAUGUGAAAUCCCCGGGCUCAACCUGGGAACUGCAUUUGUGACUGCAUGGCUAGAGUGCGGCAGAGGGGGAUGGAAUUCCGCGUGUAGCAGUGAAAUGCGUAGAGAUGUGGAGGAACACCGAUGGCGAAGGCAGCCCCCUGGGUCAAGAUUGACGCUCAUGCACGAAAGCGUGGGGAGCAAACAGG